Molecule: unclassified non-coding RNA, 90 nt
Filed under: Pseudomonas prosekii
Lineage: Bacteria; Pseudomonadati; Pseudomonadota; Gammaproteobacteria; Pseudomonadales; Pseudomonadaceae
Source: RNAcentral
UGUGGGAGCGAGCUUGCUCGCGAUGGCGGUGAGUCAGCUUGCAUAAAUGUUGAAUAUCAAGCUGCUAUCGCGAGCAAGCUCGCUCCCACA